This 495-nucleotide ribosomal RNA is filed under the name uncultured bacterium. RNAcentral's name for it is "partial 16S ribosomal RNA". It matches the Rfam family "Bacterial small subunit ribosomal RNA", at positions 28 to 507 of the family's 1533-position model. The record is from RNAcentral.
GAUGAACGCUGGCGGCGUGCUUAACACAUGCAAGUCGAACGAAGCACCUCUCCCGAAGAUUGACACAGCUUGCCGUAGAUUGAUUCAUUUGAGGUGACUGAGUGUCGGACGGGUGAGUAACGCGUGGGUAACCUGCCUCAUAGAGGGGGACAACAGUUGGAAACGACUGCUAAUACCGCAGAGUAAGAAGAAUUCGCAUGUUUUCUUCUUGAACGAUUUAUCGCUAUGAGAUGGACCCGCGUCUGAUUAGCUAGUUGGUAAGGUAAUGGCCUACCAAGGCGACGAUCAGUAGCCGGCAUGAGAGAGUGAACGGCCACAUUGGGACUGAGACACGGCCCAGACUCCUACGGGAGGCAGCAAUGGGGAAUAUUGCACAAUGGAGGAAACCCUGAUGCAGCGACGCCGCGUGAGUUAAGAAAUAUUUCGGUAUGUAAAGCUCCAUCAGCAAGGAAGAUAAUGACGGUACCUGACUAAGAAGCCCCGGCUAACUACGUG